CGCCUUUGCAUCGCGCUGCGGAAUCCCUAUAUUCGCGGUGCCGGAGCGAUCCGGUCUAUGGCGAUAAACGGCCAUCGUAAUAAACCCUGCGGACCCGGGGGCAGUACCCGGCGCCUCCACCCGAGCCCAUGGCCCCGAAAUCGUGGGCUCCGGCGGGGGCGAUACAGGAUCGACGAGGGCGUAAAGGGUGAGCUUUCGCUCGGCAUGGUUCCGCCGUUAUCGGGCCAAACCUAUAGUUGCUAACGACAACUAUGCCGAGGCUCGCCUCGCCGCGUAAUGCGGUGAUGCAACCUCAUUCAAAGCCCUUGCGGUUCGCAUCGUAAGGCGGGGUUCGGAGGCACCUGGCAACAGAAGCCUCCACU
RNAcentral lists this transfer-messenger RNA (362 nucleotides) under Hyphomicrobiales bacterium. RNAcentral's name for it is "Rhizobiales bacterium (bioreactor metagenome) transfer-messenger RNA". It matches the Rfam family "Alphaproteobacteria transfer-messenger RNA". Rfam says of the family: Bacterial tmRNA, also known as 10Sa RNA or SsrA, is named for its dual tRNA and mRNA-like properties. Its role is to liberate the mRNA from a stalled ribosome. To accomplish this part of the tmRNA is used as a reading frame that ends in a translation stop signal. The record is from RNAcentral. Lineage: Bacteria; Pseudomonadati; Pseudomonadota; Alphaproteobacteria; Hyphomicrobiales. RNAcentral also lists the same sequence under 1 other name.